RNAcentral lists this ribosomal RNA (400 nucleotides) under uncultured bacterium. Its description in RNAcentral is "bacterial SSU rRNA". It matches the Rfam family "Bacterial small subunit ribosomal RNA", at positions 355 to 767 of the family's 1533-position model. The record is from RNAcentral.
UCGAGGAUCUUCGGCAAUGAGCGCAAGCUUGACCGAGCGACGCCGCGUGUGCGAUGAAGGCCUUCGGGUUGUAAAGCACUGUCGAGAGGGAGAAAGGGAAACUUGAUCUAUCUCUGGAGGAAGCACGGGCUAAGUUCGUGCCAGCAGCCGCGGUAAGACGAACCGUGCGAACGUUGUUCGGAAUCACUGGGCUUAAAGGGCGCGUAGGCGGGCUGUCAAGUCUGGGGUGAAAUCCUUCGGCUCAACCGAAGAAUGGCCUCAGAUACUGACGGUCUCGAGGGGGAUAGGGGCAUGCGGAACUAGGGGUGGAGCGGUGAAAUGCGUUGAUAUCCUUAGGAACUCCGGUGGCGAAGGCGGCAUGCUGGAUCCUUUCUGACGCUGAGGCGCGAAAGCCAGGGGA